This 363-nucleotide unclassified non-coding RNA is filed under the name uncultured bacterium. Its description in RNAcentral is "contains 16S-23S intergenic spacer region". The record is from RNAcentral.
UCCCCCGUGAGGGGGCAGUCUCGCCAGACACUUAUAACUGGCAACGAGGGUUGCGUUCGUUACCCCACUGAAGGGAACGAUUCAAACCACGAACUGACGACAGCCGUGCAUCACCUGUCCUGCACCUUCGAAAGCUUCCCUAGUUUCCUAGGGCGUGCAGCAGGAUGUCUAAUCUUGGUAAGGUUCUUCGUUUAGCGACGAAUUGAGCCACACGCUCCACCACUUGUGCGAGCUCCCGUCUAUUCCUUUGAGUUUUAGCCUUGCGGCCGUACUACCCAGGCGGAUGACUUAACGCGUUAGCUUCGCCACACAGAGGGUCGAUACUCCGUAUAGCCAGUCAUCAUCGUUUAGGGCGUGGACUAC